AUUGAACGCUGGCGGCAUGCUUUACACAUGCAAGUCGAACGGCAGCGCGGGCUUCGGCCUGGCGGCGAGUGGCGAACGGGUGAGUAAUACAUCGGAACGUGCCCAGUAGUGGGGGAUAGCUCGGCGAAAGCCGGAUUAAUACCGCAUACGACCUGAGGGUGAAAGCGGGGGAUCUUCGGACCUCGCGCUAUUGGAGCGGCCGAUGGCAGAUUAGCUAGUUGGUGGGGUAAAGGCCUACCAAGGCGACGAUCUGUAGCUGGCCUGAGAGGACGACCAGCCACAAGGGGACUGAGAGACGGCCCAGAACCCUACGGGAGGCAGCAGUGGGGAAGUUUGGACAAGGGGGGAAAGCUUGACCAAGCAAGGCAGCGUGUGUGAUGAAGGCCGUCGGGUUGUAAAGCACUUUUGGCGGGAAAGAAAAGGACUGUGGCAAGACCACGGGUCGGUGACGGAACCCGAAGAAUAAGCACCGGCGAAUUAGGG
This 483-nucleotide ribosomal RNA is filed under the name uncultured bacterium. RNAcentral describes it as "partial 16S ribosomal RNA". It matches the Rfam family "Bacterial small subunit ribosomal RNA", at positions 29 to 506 of the family's 1533-position model. The record is from RNAcentral.